AUUUCCUACGGGGCGCAGCAGUGGGGGAUAUUGCACAAUGGGGGGAACCCUGAUGCAGCGACGCCGCGUGGGUGAAGGAGUGCUUCGGUAUGUAAAGCUCUAUCAGCAGGGAAGAAAAUGACGGUACCUGACUAAGAAGCCCCGGCUAACUACGUGCCAGCAGCCGCGGUAAUACGUAGGGGGCAAGCGUUAUCCGGAUUUACUGGGUGUAAAGGGAGCGUAGACGGCAGAGCAAGUCUGAAGUGAAAGCCCGCGGCCCAACUGCGGGACUGCUUUGGAAACUGCCCGGCUAGAGUGCUGGAGAG
This 305-nucleotide ribosomal RNA is filed under the name uncultured bacterium. RNAcentral's name for it is "bacterial SSU rRNA". It matches the Rfam family "Bacterial small subunit ribosomal RNA", at positions 334 to 656 of the family's 1533-position model. The record is from RNAcentral.